UACGUAGGGUGCGAGCGUUAAUCGGAAUUACUGGGCGUAAAGCGUGCGCAGGCGGUUUUGUAAGUCAGAUGUGAAAUCCCCGGGCUUAACCUGGGAAUGGCAUUUGGGACUGCAAGGCUUGAGUGCGGCAGAGGAGACUGGAAUUCCUGGUGUAGCAGUGAAAUGCGUAGAUAUCUGGAGGAACACCGGUGGCGAAGGCGGCAUCCUGGACCGGCAUUGACGCUGAGGCGCGAAAGCCAGGGGAGCAAACGGG
Molecule: ribosomal RNA, 253 nt
Filed under: uncultured bacterium
Lineage: Bacteria
Description: partial 16S ribosomal RNA
Rfam family: Bacterial small subunit ribosomal RNA
Source: RNAcentral